AUUGAACGCUGGCGGCAUGCCUUACACAUGCAAGUCGAACGGCAGCACGGGAGCAAUCCUGGUGGCGAGUGGCGAACGGGUGAGUAAUAUAUCGGAACGUGCCCAGUCGUGGGGGAUAACGCAGCGAAAGCUGUGCUAAUACCGCAUACGAUCUACGGAUGAAAGCGGGGGAUCGCAAGACCUCGCGCGAUUGGAGCGGCCGAUAUCAGAUUAGCUAGUUGGUGAGGUAAAGGCUCACCAAGGCGACGAUCUGUAGCUGGUCUGAGAGGACGACCAGCCACACUGGAACUGAGACACGGUCCAGACUCCUACGGGAGGCAGCAGUGGGGAAUUUUGGACAAUGGGCGCAAGCCUGAUCCAGCAAUGCCGCGUGCAGGAUGAAGGCCUUCGGGUUGUAAACUGCUUUUGUACGGAACGAAACGGUGAGCUCUAAUACAGUUUGCUAAUGACGGUACCGUAAGAAUAAGCACCGGCUAACUACGUGCCAGCCGCCGCGGUAA
This 500-nucleotide ribosomal RNA is filed under the name uncultured bacterium. Its description in RNAcentral is "partial 16S ribosomal RNA". It matches the Rfam family "Bacterial small subunit ribosomal RNA", at positions 30 to 523 of the family's 1533-position model. The record is from RNAcentral.